CGCGGAGUGGAGCAGUUGGUAGCUCGUCGGGCUCAUAACCCGAAGGCCAUAGGUUCGAGUCCUAUCUCCGCUA
Molecule: transfer RNA, 73 nt
Filed under: Bacteroidota bacterium
Lineage: Bacteria; Pseudomonadati; Bacteroidota
Also listed under: 1 other name
Description: Bacteroidetes bacterium tRNA-Met
Rfam family: tRNA
About the family: Transfer RNA (tRNA) molecules are approximately 80 nucleotides in length. Their secondary structure includes four short double-helical elements and three loops (D, anti-codon, and T loops).
Source: RNAcentral